GACGAACGCUGGCGGCGUGCUUAACACAUGCAAGUCGAGCGGUAAGGCCCUUUCGGGGGUACACGAGCGGCGAACGGGUGAGUAACACGUGGGUGACCUGCCCUCAGCUCUGGGAUAAGCCUGGGAAACUGGGCCUAAUACUGGAUAUGACUCCACGGUGCAUGUCGUGGGGUGGAAAGCCUUGUGCGGCUGAGGAUGGGCCCGCGGCCUAUCAGCUUGUUGGUGGGGUGANGGCCUACCAAGGCGACGACGGGUAGCCGGCCUGAGAGGGCGACCGGCCACACUGGGACUGAGACACGGCCCAGACUCCUACGGGAGGCAGCAGUGGGGAAUCUUGCGCAAUGGGCGAAAGCCUGACGCAGCGACGCCGCGUGAGGGAUGACGGCCUGGUGUAAC
This 396-nucleotide ribosomal RNA is filed under the name uncultured bacterium. RNAcentral's name for it is "bacterial SSU rRNA". It matches the Rfam family "Bacterial small subunit ribosomal RNA", at positions 28 to 429 of the family's 1533-position model. The record is from RNAcentral.